RNAcentral lists this long non-coding RNA (1928 nucleotides) under Theobroma cacao (cacao). RNAcentral describes it as "long non-coding RNA (TCAC_LNC003316)". The record is from RNAcentral. Lineage: Eukaryota; Viridiplantae; Streptophyta; Magnoliopsida; Malvales; Malvaceae.
UAGUAGCGUAAAAGCAAAAUAAAUUCAUGCAUACUGUAAUACAGUAAGCCAGAGUAUUUAACUUAAUUUACAAUAACCAGUGGGCCCUCGAAUAACUAAAAGAAAGGAAGACUGUGAACCUACAGUUUGGAGGAUGCAAAUCUAAUGGUAACCUCAAUGAAAUCGGCUAUCUAUAGCCUAUUUUGAGCCUGAAAUGGGUGGAAAUGAGGGUGGUGAGAUUAUAUAAUCCCAGUGAGUAAACAAAUACCAUCUAAAAUAUCUAAAGCCGAGUAAAUUGAGACAUAUAAAAUAGUUUAACAUACUAUAAUUCAUCACCUUUCAACUUGUUUCAACCAAAUAAAAUCAAUUCAUAUAAAUCGAGUAAUCAACAUGGCUUAUGAAUUUCUUAAAACUUUGACUCGUGCCAAAAUCAUACCCAGUUAUUAGGGAUACCCUGAUCGAGGGUUAUCCCAACCGAGUCCGCCAAGGCUGUUAAAAAGUUAUGUACGCAUAAAUCAUGUUUUUAUUUUCAAAACAUAGUCGUUCCUUGGCGUUAGCUGAGUUCACCCUCACGUGGUGGUUUGACGUGAAGUGAACUCUAAAGUUAUACCUCGGGAGUUACCCUACUCGCCUCUCCAAUCGAGGUAAAAUAUAGCAGGAUUCCGUGCCCCUCUAAUAAGCUGAUCCACAGAAAACCCGCCCACUGCAGCAAGUUAAACCCACCAUAUAAUAAAAUUUGCAAUAGCAUGACAUGGUAAUUAUUUUAUUUUAUUUUAUUUUACAGCCUUUCAAGGCAAAUCAACAAUUUAUACAUUUCCAACACAUUUAUCAAAUCAACCAUUCAUGCCAAUAUUGCCAUAAGCCAAUCAAUUAGAAUCAUGAAUUUACAACACACAAAAACAGUCUCCAAUUACUCUAUUUUCAAACCAUCAUUCAAUUUUAAAACAAUUUUAUAAAAUCAUUUUCAUUAAAUCACAUUUUGUUUAUAAAACCAAAAAAUUAAUCAAUUAAUUCAUUUUCCAUAAAAUUCACAAAAUCAAAUAAAAACAUACUUUAGAUAAUUAAGAUGAUGAUAAGGUUACUCACUAUUUCGGGGUCGAAUUCCAAGUACUCCGAUUCUUUAUUCUCGGGUACUAUCUCUUUACUUUUGCCAGAAUUAUCACCAUCUAGACAUAAUGCACAAUAAGCCAUUUACUACAUUGUGCUAAAUUGUUAUAAAACCAAUUCAGGCUUUAUACUAAUGUAUGAAAUGGGAUGCAAAUUGUUCGGAUUAUUGUCUAAACACGGUGUUCUACACAAAUUCAAUUGUGUACCUAAAUUAAACGGUAUUUACCUAAUUCGAUCUAUCACUCGAUUAAUUGGCCAAUACGUCCAAUUCAAUUCCAAAUAAUUUCAUUUUUCUCCCAAUACUCCUAAUCAUCAAACACAAAUUAAAUAACUUGAAAUAUGGCAAAAUCAUCCUCACAUUUUCUCUUGGAAAAUUCGGCCAUGGUGGGUGCAUCAACACUAUAAUUUUUCCUAUUUGAUUAUCAUACCAUAAAUCACUAAUUCCUAACCAAAUCACUUGAAAUAAAAUCAAAAUCAUCCUCAAUAUUCCACAUGGAGAAUUCGACCAAUGAUGGGUGAUGGGAGAACAUGAAUUUUUCUUGCUUGAUUUUCAUGCUACACACCACCAAUCAACUAAAAACACUAAAAUACAUUGAAAUCUAACCAAAUCAAGCAUCAAAACCUCUCUCCUAGGGUUUGAUCAGCACACUAUCCUUCAUGAUAUCUUGUGAUUCAACCAUGAAAAAUGCAAAAUAAUGCAUGGGAAAGGUAGAUCACAAGUCAAAAUCAAUAAAUUUUACAUUUGAUUGCUUAAUUACUUGAAAUUCACCAAUUUUCUCUUGAAUUUUCACCUUAGGGUUCUUGUUCUUCCUUUUUCUUCCUUUGUUCUUGCUUUGGCCGGC